This 434-nucleotide long non-coding RNA is filed under the name Setaria viridis. Its description in RNAcentral is "long non-coding RNA (SVIR_LNC008869)". The record is from RNAcentral. Lineage: Eukaryota; Viridiplantae; Streptophyta; Magnoliopsida; Poales; Poaceae.
UCCAAUUGAUGUUUGUGGAAACCAGUCUCUAUGCAAAAGCAGGGUCAUCCAGGCAGCAUUCUCUCAUAAAACCACAAAAGUAGAGGAACCAAGACAAGCACAAACUGCAUGACAUGUAAACGACAUCAGUCCUGGACAAAUUCCAUUUCAGAAGUCCACCUCAGACUUUAUGUAUGAGUUAUGCCAUGUAAAGGAAAUCAGCCAUGGACAAAUUCUGUUUCAGAAGACCACAGCAGACUUGACAUGUAAAGCACAUCAGCCCCUGGACAAAUUCCCUUGCAGAAGUUUCUCAAUCCACCUCAGCUUGUCACGAUGCAAUCAACUUACAUUGGCAAAAGCAAAACAAACUGAAAUAUGGCCGUCUCAUCCUUAACAGACACGUCAUAUCACCCUCACCCUACUAUCAAAAGUAAGAACAACAAAAUACUUUUCCC